CCCUUAGAUGUCCUGGGCCGCACGCGCGCUACACUGAGUGUCUGAGAUACGAGUCUGCCUAGCCGGCGAGGUCUAGGUAAUCGCUGAAAGACACAUCAUGCUUGGGAUAGAUUAUUGCAGAUAUUAAUCUUGAACGAGGAAUUCCUAGUAAGCGCAAGUCAACAGCUCGCGUUGAUUACGUCCCUGCCCUUUGUACACACCGCCCGUCGCUACUACUGAUUGGAUGUUUAAGCGAGGUUCUCGAACUGCUAGCGACUUAGCUUCGGUGAGGUCGCCGUGUGGGAAGUGAACCUAGCUUUGGUGUCUAGAGGAAGUAAAAGUCGUAUCA
Molecule: ribosomal RNA, 328 nt
Filed under: uncultured eukaryote
Lineage: Eukaryota
Description: partial 18S ribosomal RNA
Rfam family: Eukaryotic small subunit ribosomal RNA
Source: RNAcentral